AUUGCUAAUUGUAUGGCCUGAUCAGAUAAUAUUAUAAUUGCAAUGUCAGUGGUCCCAAAAAGCUACAUAAGUACCACAAAUUUUAGAAUGUAUCUCAUCUCCAAUAUGGCUUAGUCCUUAAUCAGACUGAUAAUAACCUACCCCAUGCAGAAGUCAUGAAUAUGUGUACAAAUCAAGAUAUGCUUAUUCUCUUUAUUCCAGGUUCUUUGCAAGACCAAGCUUUCCCUUUGGAUGCAAGUUGCAUGGCAUAAUCCCAGAUGGACCAGCAUGGAUAUUUCCCUGGCAUAACUUGUUCUUUUACAUCUGUGGAGCAGCAGUGAGUUGAUUGUGUCUUCUUGAAGAUCAAGACUGGUGAGGAUGUUUGGAUAAUAAUCAAAAGACUAUGUUGGACACCAUAGUCUUGAAAAUAUUUAACAGCAUCCUCUCUGUGCUAAUAUGAACUUUGAAGAAAAUGAUGCAGUAGGAUACAGAAAAGCUUCAAAAUACAUUCAUGGGAAACAAUAAUGAUGUUUAUUGGAAUUAAUCACUGCUAAAUACCCUCUUAUAACAGGACAUUUGGAUGGUUCUAGCUAAUGCCAGAGAGGGGUAGAUUUUAUAAAAAGAUAAGAAAAGAUUAAGGAAAAUCAUGAAUAAGGAGAAGAAGAAGACUGGGACAUUUAUAAAUAAGGUACAGAAUCAGAGUAUGUAAGGCAUGAAUGGAGUCUUGGAGUGUAAUGGGAGGUAAUUUGCUACAUCUAGUUGCAUCCAAAUAUGGUGCUGAGACUUUCUUUUCCACCUUAGUAUUGAUAUGUCUGUUUAUCAAGGGCCCCAUUUUUUGCUUUCAGGUAUUUUCAACUAAUUUAGAUCCUUAAAAACAGUGGGUUCCCAAGAGAUUACAUGGGAUUUAGCCAAAUUUCAGAAUAUGGCCAAGUACUUUUACUAAAAUAACCAAAUGCUAGCAGUUGGCAACUUUGAUGAGCCCUAAUUCCCAGGGACCUAGAGAAUAUCUUCUAUGCCAGAUAAUAUAAAUUCUUAUUUGAUCAGCUGUGAUAUAUUCUGUAUGCAUUGGCUGCAUUUUUACAUGGCUUUCCAGAGCAAGCCAUAAUAAAGUCUUCAUCUGGAAGCUGAUUUUUUAAAUCCUUUUCUUGACUUUAGGCCAUUCCUCCUUCUCCUAAAUCACUAGUUCUCAAAGUGUCGUCUGUAGAUUAACAGUAUCAACAUUGGCUGGAAGCUAAUUAGAAAUGCAAAGUUUUGAGCCACACCUCAGAUCUACUUCAGAAACUCAGAGGCUGACUAAACUUUGCAUCUUGUUAAGUCUUCCAGGCAAUUUUAACACAUGCUAGUGUUUGAACACCACCUUCCUAAGGUUGUGCAUGAGCUCUGUCAGCCUGGGUAAGCCUCAUGCAUUGAGUUUUAUGGGAGAGCUAGAGCAGGUUUGUCAACCUCUCUCCUUUUUUCUCGAUUUGCUCCAUACUCAGUUCCACCAGGGCCUGCUCUUUGGAUGCUCAGGAGCACAUAUUGGAGGUCAAAACAACUGCCUUUCUCUUUAUCCUUUUGUUUUAACAACCUAAUUUUCCUUGAGGUGGUGUGGAGUCAUCUGACUGAGAAGGGGAGAGGGUUGGUAAAAAAGGAAGUAUAGAAAAGGGAAAAAAAAAUCUUUUUAGAUACACUCUUGCUACCUGGGAAGACAAUGUCAGACAAUUAUAUGAUCCACCUAAUUUAACGUCUUUUUUUAUUUUUAGCAGAUAUAUCACAUGGAGAAAAUAUACUUUUAUGUAAAUAAAAAUCAGUGAAAUAAAUUUUGCUUUGCUUUGUGCUUAGUGUAUGUGAUAUUAAUAACCAAUAAGUUAUUAGAGGUUCUUCUUUCUUUUAUUUUAAAUUACAUUCUUAAUCAAUGUAUUUUAAAUCAUCUCUCUUACUGCUUCCAUACCUCUAGAUUAUAUAAGAAUAGAAAAUAUGACUCUCAGAAUGAUCAGCCUGAG
Molecule: long non-coding RNA, 1961 nt
Filed under: Homo sapiens (human)
Lineage: Eukaryota; Metazoa; Chordata; Mammalia; Primates; Hominidae
Description: HSALNT0264079
Source: RNAcentral